RNAcentral lists this ribosomal RNA (460 nucleotides) under uncultured bacterium. Its description in RNAcentral is "partial 16S ribosomal RNA". It matches the Rfam family "Bacterial small subunit ribosomal RNA", at positions 338 to 795 of the family's 1533-position model. The record is from RNAcentral.
CCUACGGGAGGCAGCAGUGAGGAAUAUUGGUCAAUGGACGAGAGUCUGAACCAGCCAAGUAGCGUGAAGGAUGACUGCCCUAUGGGUUGUAAACUUCUUUUAUAAAGGAAUAAAACGUGGCACGUGUGCCUUUUUGCAUGUACUUUAUGAAUAAGGAUCGGCUAACUUCGUGCCAGCAGCCGCGGUAAUACGGAGGAUCCGAGCGUUAUCCGGAUUUAUUGGGUUUAAAGGGAGCGUAGAUGGGUCGUUAAGUCAGAUGUGAAAGUUUGGGGCUCAACCGUACAAGUGCAAUUGAUACUGGCAGUCUUGAGUACAGUAGAGGUAGGCGGAAUUCGUGGUGUAGCGGUGAAAUGCUUAGAUAUGACGAAGAACCCCGAUUGCGAAGGCAGCUUACUAAACUGUGACUGACGUUGAUGCUCGAAAGUGUGGGUAUCAAACAGGAUUAGAUACCCGGGUAGUC